RNAcentral lists this long non-coding RNA (389 nucleotides) under Actinidia chinensis (golden kiwifruit). RNAcentral's name for it is "long non-coding RNA (ACHI_LNC008023)". The record is from RNAcentral. Lineage: Eukaryota; Viridiplantae; Streptophyta; Magnoliopsida; Ericales; Actinidiaceae.
CUCUUAUUCUUAUUUUUACUUUACAUUUGUAUAUAUCACAUUGCACACUAUUCAAAAUGAGUGUUAUGAUUUAUAUUAUAGACAACCGUAGAUACAAUUGUGCCAGUAAUUUCCCGUGUCCACGGGCACUACCUCCAAAAAAAAAUUUGGAGGAAACUCAUUUUGAGUCAGCAAUAACUGAAUCCUACAAGACAUUGUCAUGAAAUUUUGCUUACAUUAAGAAAAUACACAUGAAAUUCAUUGCCUCUAUUUAAAACUUAUAACAGGCAAAAAAACUAGUCAAUCUUAGAAAAGAACUAAUCCCUCUAUGGUACUCAUUUUUUUUUUAGUUGGUAAAUACACAUGCUAUUUUUUUUCUGCCAACAAAUGAUAUAGGCAUCAGAAAAUGG